CAAGGAGCAUGUCCAUGCUAAGUGUGGUCAGUCAGAAUCUGUCAAAUCAUUCUUAGACGAUGAUGAAUACGAUCUGAACAAUUAGCAAUGAUUUGUUUGCAGUUUUAAUAAGAAUAAAAGUGCGAGCAAUGGGUCGCAAUGACAAUUUUCUUUAUAAGGACAGCGACAUAAAGAGCACGUUUCUCGUAACCUCGUUUUGAUCUUAAUUUGAACGCAGUAGAAUUUUCAGUAAUAAGGGAAGUAUUAAGUAAUAAACGAGGUUCUUUAUGACACUGAUAAAAAUGGUUUCGACGUGGCAUCAGCAAGUGUUUGCUCUCGAUGCCAAAUAUAAUUCACAGCGUGCAGUGAAUAGCCCUGGAUUUGCAACUUUGUACAUACGUCGAAGAAGUCAGCUGCUGCGAGAAAAGUUGUCCAGGAACUCUGAACUUAGAACACAAUAUUUGAAGCUACGCUCGGAAUUACUCCGGCGUCGAUAUGGAGGAAAUGCAGAACAAAGUAGCCUUAGUAGUCGUAUAACCUGUGACGAGAGUAUAGAAACGGGUUCGAGUUCACAAGUUAUACCUCGAAAAUCACCCAUGGAGAGUAUUGCCUUUGCCGAAGUACAUCAUGUAUUCGACCAGCAUACCGCAGCAGUGACGAUGCUGAGAUUUGCUAACAACGACAGAUCUAGACUAUGUUGUGCAUCCUUCGAUGGAUAUAUAUCAAUAUGCGAUGCAACCAGUUCUCCUCCAUCUGUAUUGACACUUCUAGGCGGCCAUCGAAAAGGUGUUACAGCCAUAGACUGGAGUACAAGCAAUGACUUGAUUGUAUCGGCGUCUUUAGAUGGGACGGUUCGUCUCUGGAAUACCCAUUCCAAUCCUGGACCAAACUGCCUCAGGGUUGUAGAAGACCAAUUUCAUGCCGAGGUGCUUUGCUGUGCCUUUGUUCCCAUGAACAAUAAUCUAGUAGUUACUGGCAGUUCGCAGGGAUUACUGCAAGUACUGAACAUAUCUACAGGAAUAUAUCCACGUGGCGGGUCUUCAAAAAUUGGUGGAAAGAUUCUAUGUUUAACAUGCGAGGAAAGUGGAGGUUCUUUGAUAUGGGCUGGUAACGACAAAGGGAACAUUCUUUCCUUUCGUCUGGAUUCGAUUUCAGGACGACUGUCAAAACUUAAGAGGGUGGAUAUAAGUUUGGGAGCCAUAACAUGCCUUUCAUGGCGAUCCUGGAUGUCAAAAGAAGCUCCUUGGCCAACUGUUCUCGUCAGUAGCGCCAGUAAUUUCGUUUUUCUAUAUCGUGUCUCCAAUGGCCAAGGUGCUUUGUCACUUUGGAAGAAGUAUCCAGUCCGACACAGGCAAUAUUUAAUUCGUUCCGCAUUUUGUCCUCAAAUGGGAACAUAUCUAAUAGCUUCAGGCUCAGAGGAUGGAUCGGUUCACCUGUUGGACACCUCUCGAGAAGGCAAAGCAGCCCGAGUGAACAGACUUCAUGGACAUGCAGCUCCAAUACUGGCUAUCUCUUUUAAUUAUGACGAGUCUCUCUUGGUGACAGGUGAUCAUCAAGGUCUUGUCAUCCUAUGGCGUAACAGGCAGCGUAAUAUCUAAGAAACAGUUUCCAUAUAAAGACCUGAAAUUCUGUCAAUUGUGCAAUGUGGUAAAGAAAUACAAUGUGGUUAUGGUGAUGACGGCACGGACUAUGGUUGCUCUGCUUUAGAAUUAGACUUUUCCAACAAAGCGACCUUGUAAAGGGACGUGGCGGUGUACCAGUCGGAUGAAUGAAUUGUUGCUCGGUGAUAAUGUACCUAGGAUGAUAACACCUGACAACUGCUCGAGUUCUCGAGUCGAGUCCAACUAAUUCCGCCGGAAAUCGACAAUAGAAAUCAGUCUGACAUUAUUCGCACGAUAAUACCGCUCGUCGAAAGAGUUACCGGAGGGAACAGUUGCUCAAGCUCGGAGGUUCUUUCGCAAGGCGAUCGUUUUUUCGAAAUCCGGAACGAGCCGAAGUUGUCCUGGAAAUGGGGAAAUAAGGCCAGAAAUUACGAAGAAGGGAGAUCAUAAUUCACGUAGUGUACUGAGUCGAGUAUUCAUAAACGCUUCGAAUAUGUCAACAGAACUAAUCCGAUGAAGUUGCAGGCGAGAAUCAACCGGUUGAAUUGCAAUUAGGACCUAGUUGUAAAAAUUCGUCUCAAGAGUUUCAACCCUCAUCACAGAUCCGUUUCGUUUCGUGAAUCAACCCGCCGGAACGUCGAAAUUAAUUCCGUCCAACCUCUAUCACAGGGUUGUGUCGUGCCUCGAGGCGUCAUCGCAACGGGUUAGCCUAAAGGGGGAAUAAAAUACAGAAAAGAAGAGGAAGAACAAAGCGUCCUUGCUCGCGAGAUACGUAAUACUCGUGUAAAAUAGAGAGCUUCUUUUCGACAGAGGGGCCCGGUCGAGCCCUCGAUAAGACAAAACGGAUAAAAACGAUCAGUUUCGCGGAAAGACUUCCGCGACUUUCUCCCAUAGAGUCCGUCCAGACGACGCAAAUCACCGGACACCGAUUGAUAUAUAAAAUAAAUUACUAACGCAGA
This is an RNA transcript of Orussus abietinus, 2539 nucleotides long. It is a transcript of the gene named WD repeat-containing protein 13-like, with no coding region annotated. The transcript is spliced from 6 exons. The record is from RefSeq and is a predicted model, not a curated record. Lineage: Eukaryota; Metazoa; Arthropoda; Insecta; Hymenoptera; Orussidae.